This 734-nucleotide long non-coding RNA is filed under the name Neogobius melanostomus (round goby). RNAcentral describes it as "lncRNA (ENSNMLG00000025267.1)". Lineage: Eukaryota; Metazoa; Chordata; Actinopteri; Gobiiformes; Gobiidae. The record is from RNAcentral.
AAAAGAGCAGCCGUGACAGGGGGCGCAGCGCACUGUCUUGGAGAGUGCCUCCCCGGACGGUGUCCUUUACAUGCUGCUACACACCCGUCAAAACAACGCCACAAGAUGGUCUCGCGCGGAUUUAUUCUCAAACUACAACGUUAGCCACGAAGAUAUUUACCACGUUUAUCAGCGACUUCUCCAUUAUGAGGACUGUACCUGAGAUUUGAAGUAAACCAUGGGCGGUGCUGCUGUGUUGAAUGCGAAAGUGGAGUUGAAGUAGUAAACUUCUACAGCCACUUUUCCUUUUAACAGAUGUCUGAAUGUAGUUAUGCCGGAGCAAGGCACGACGCCUUUGUCAGAGUGUCUGUUAUUUUGCUAGUGCUUCAUUCAGAUGUACUAAACUGUCAGCAUGCUACAGACCACAGAAAGGUAAGGAUCAAAGCAUACUGAACAGACUUAGUGUUUUAUGUGCGAUAAGUCAUCAACGAAUGCAUGUAAUUAUAAUGCCACUUAGGAUGUCUCGUGGCACCAUCAGCAAUUCACUAUUGGGAGACCACAUUAAAGCUUAAGUCUGGAACAUUAGUGUGGCUUACUAUGUGCUUCUGUUUUGACCUGUGACUGACCCUGUAACUGACAGUGGCAUUGCAUUACAAAGGAUGAGGCUGGCUUGAGGACGUUGGAGAGGUCUCUGAAUAACUGCACAUGCUGAUUGACAGGGGAAGACAGUUGUGCCAAGUCUGCCUACUGUGUCU